ACGAACGCUGGCGGCGUGCCUAAUACCUGCAAGUCGAACGAGAGCAACCGGUGCUUGCACUGGUCAAUCUAGUGGCGAACGGGUGAGUAACACGUGGGUAACCUGCCCAUCAGAGGGGGAUAACAUCCGGAAACGGAUGCUAAAACCGCAUAGGUCUUCGAACCGCAUGGUUUGAAGAGGAAAAGAGGCGCAAGCUUCUGCUGAUGGAUGGACCCGCGGUGCAUUAGCUAGUUGGUGAGGUAACGGCUCACCAAGGCCGUGAUGCAUAGCCGACCUGAGAGGGUGAUCGGCCACAUUGGGACUGAGACACGGCCCAAACUCCUACGGGAGGCAGCAGUAGGGAAUCUUCCGCAAUGGACGCAAGUCUGACGGAGCAACGCCGCGUGAGUGAAGAAGGUUUUCGGAUCGUAAAACUCUGUUGUUAGAGAAGAACAAGUGCUAGAGUAACUGUUAGCGCCUUGACGGUAUCUAACCAGAAAGCCACGGCUAACUACGUG
RNAcentral lists this ribosomal RNA (497 nucleotides) under uncultured bacterium. Its description in RNAcentral is "partial 16S ribosomal RNA". It matches the Rfam family "Bacterial small subunit ribosomal RNA", at positions 29 to 507 of the family's 1533-position model. The record is from RNAcentral.